UUUAACUCUUCGUUUAAUUUGAAAUUUUUUUGCGAUUAAUAUUUUUAUUGUUACUAGAUGGUAAAAUAUAAAUAGUACUUUAUACGUGACUAAUUUUUUUAAGUUUUUGUAUAAAUUUUUCAAAUAAAAUGAAUGGUCAAA
Molecule: microRNA precursor, 141 nt
Filed under: Oryza brachyantha (malo sina)
Lineage: Eukaryota; Viridiplantae; Streptophyta; Magnoliopsida; Poales; Poaceae
Description: MIR812 microRNA precursor family
Rfam family: MIR812 microRNA precursor family
Source: Rfam by way of RNAcentral